Molecule: ribosomal RNA, 722 nt
Filed under: uncultured marine eukaryote
Lineage: Eukaryota
Description: SSU rRNA
Rfam family: Eukaryotic small subunit ribosomal RNA
Source: RNAcentral
CGGACACCGGGAGGUAGUGACAAAAAAUAGCAAUAGGGGGCCCGAUGGGCUCUCUAAUUGGAAUGAGAACAACGUAAACAACUUAUCGAGGAACCAGCAGAGGGCAAGUCUGGUGCCAGCAGCCGCGGUAAUUCCAGCUCUGUAAGCGUAUACCAAAGUUGUUGCAGUUAAAACGCUCGUAGUCGGAUUUUGGCGGGAGACGCAGGCCGUCCGCGAGGACGAACUUGCGUCUGACGCCUUUGUGGAGGGGGGCUUGGUGGUGCUUUACUGCAUUGCUGAGUCGCUGCCACCGUUUACUGUGAAUAAAUUAGAGUGUUCAAAGCAAGCAAUUUGCCCUGAAUACAUUAGCAUGGAAUAAUAGAAUAGGACCUGGUCUUGUUUCUAUUGGUUUGUAAAGUUCAGGUAAUGAUUAAGAGGGACGGUUGGGGGCAUUUGUAUUCCGGCGCUAGAGGUGAAAUUCUUGGAUUGCCGGAAGACAAACAGCUGCGAAAGCGUCUGCCAAGGACGUUUUCAUUGAUCAAGAACGAAAGUAAGGGGAUCGAAGACGAUCAGAUACCGUCGUAGUCUUUACUAUAAACGAUGAGGACUGGGGAUCGGACGUGGCAAUAUGGUACGUUCGGCACCCUCCGGGAAACCAAAGUUUUUGCUUUCUGGGGGGAGUAUGGUCGCAAGGCUGAAACUUAAAGGAAUUGACGGAAGGGCAUCACCGGGUGUGGAGCCUG